UGGGGAAUUUUGGACAAUGGGCGCAAGCCUGAUCCAGCAAUGCCGCGUGCAGGAUGAAGGCCUUCGGGUUGUAAACUGCUUUUGUACGGAACGAAAAGCUUCUGGUUAAUACCUGGGAGUCAUGACGGUACCGUAAGAAUAGGCACCGGCUAACUACGUGCCAGCAGCCGCGGUAAUACGUAGGGUGCGAGCGUUAAUCGGAAUUACUGGGCGUAAAGCGUGCGCAGGCGGUCAUGUAAGACAGAGGUGAAAUCCCCGGGCUCAACCUGGGAACUGCCUUUGUGACUGCAUGGCUAGAGUGCGGCAGAGGGGGAUGGAAUUCCGCGUAUAGCAGUGAAAUGCGUAGAUAUGCGGAGGAACACCGAUGGCGAAGGCAAUCCCCUGGGCCUGCACUGACGCUCAUGCACGAAAGCGUGGGGAGCAAACA
This 427-nucleotide ribosomal RNA is filed under the name uncultured bacterium. Its description in RNAcentral is "bacterial SSU rRNA". It matches the Rfam family "Bacterial small subunit ribosomal RNA", at positions 355 to 774 of the family's 1533-position model. The record is from RNAcentral.